GGCCAUAGGAGAACACAAGGAGAAGGUGGCCGUCCACACGCCAAGGAGUGUCCUUGGGAGAAACCAACCCUGCUGACACCUUGAUCUUGGACUUCCAGGCCUCUGGAACGAGAAUGCCCAUUUACUGUAAACAAUUUGGAGAAUACAGAGAAGUUCAAAGAAGAAAACAAAUCACAUGCAUUCUGAGCACCCAGAGAUGGGCACUCUUCAAGUGUUUGCGUAUUUCCUUCAAGUCUUUUCUCUAUGUGCAUGUGUUUGUGGCAGUCACAUUGUUAAGGCCUGAGGUAAGUGUGUUAAGGUAAGGGCUCCUAUCAAUUCAGUUAAACAAGAUAAGCAAUAGGAACCUCUAGUAGCAAGAGUCAGUGCCUCUCCAAUAAAGAUGUUUAAAAAAAUUUUUUUUAAAGUGUCUAAAAAUAAAAGAGUCAGUGCCUUUGUGAUUGUAAUAAAAUGGGAACAAAUAUCCUUCCUGUAGAAUAUGGAGAAACAAUCGUUUCACUUUGCAGUUGUGCAGCUGGCAGUCCUCACAGCAGAGGAGACACAGACUGCGCCAACCUUGGCAACUGGUGACUUCAGGAGCCCCAAACUCACAGUGAGCACUGCGCUGGUAAAAAGCCCUGUUGCCCUGUCACUGGGCAUCCACCUUCCAGGCCUCCCCAAGCUGAGCAGGAAACAGAGCCCCCCCACUCCGCCUCGGUGGGCUGUGUAGACUCCAAAGGAGGGGUACUGGCCUGUUUUGAAAGGCGGAUGCGAUGCUGAGGAUCCAGAACUCACUGAGGAUGCUGCCGAAAGCCAGGACAUUGGCAAUCUGUAGUGAACGAGGCACUAACCAACUCUUCCUAACGCACGAAGAACCUACAGAAUGGUUCUCAGAGUUCUUCCGUGAACUGCUCCUGCUAAAGGAGAAAUGAACUCACCCUGACCUUACACCGCAGAGCUCAACAGAGGGAUUCCUGCUACCACAUUGGGAAGAAUGUUCCAUUGUGGCAUCAUAGUUACCAUGGUGUCACCAAGCAAACAUCUGGACAUGGGGACGCAGGAGGAGCCGGGAUGAAAAGCCUGCCUGUUUCCUAAACUUGGCAGGGCUAUUCUGGAAGCCUGCCUCUCCCCAAGUCUGGCUGAGAUGGCAUCCCUUUCGCUGGAUCACAGAGUCCGGUCCAGUCGUGGCCGUGGUCUGUCUGCCUCCUCAGAACCUGCCCUGUGUCUACAUGAGUCUGUCUGACUGGAUGGAGGAAGCCCACGACUUGGGUGGGUUUGGUUUUUCCAAUCCCUGACAACAUUUCUUACACUCUCUCUGUGGUUUCCUGGAGGCUCAGCCCAGUUUUCUUUAGCUCCCACAGCUUGUGGGUCCACGUGGAGCUACCAGAAGGGCCCUGCCAGACCACCAGGCCAGAUGGAUCUGCACUCUGGCCGCUACGAACAGCUCUGGCUUCAGCACAAAUGCCAGGACUUUAGGAAAGUGUCGAGAACGUUGUGGUGAGAUGUAACUCCACGGAACCAGAGGGCUCGCAGGCUGCUGGCGCAGGUGCGUAAAUGGCACUCAUUGGACAGACAGAUGAAUGGGGAAAGGAUGGCUGGAUAGAGAGCAAAGCCUGACUAGAGAGGAGCCACUAUCUCCUUCCCCUCACGGUUUCCCUGACACCCAUCCCAUGUGUGCCUCGCCAGCCUCUAUCACCUCCAGCACCGAGCAGGGCUUGGCUUCUGCUGGGAGAAUGGAAUCGGAUUCACAAUCACUGUGCCAGGAUGAGGGAAUUACCCAAGUUUCCAGAUGGAAACAGAGUGCCUCAGGGUGGGAAAGUCACUUCCCUAAAGCCGAACACCCGGAAACCGUGGGCAGGAUUCCAACCCAGAUCCUUCCAACUCCAGGGUCAACGAUCUCCAAGUCUGCAUUUCUCAGCCUGGACCACGUGCUACCUUUAUAGGGGACGGAAGUAGCAACAGUGAUUGGGGCAAAGUCAAAGUCUGCUCUGUAAGAAUGGAGAUGCUGAGGUUAGUGCCCAAGACCCUGACUCUCUCCAGAUUCCUCUUUAAAUUUCUUCAUGAAAAGAGGUCAUGCGCAAACCACCAGAAACACUCUCUCUCCUCACAGGAAGGAUCUAGCAUAACCCACGAUAAGAAAGGCUCAGAAUCCUGCAGGGGCCCAGCAGACCUUAUAGACAGUGGGCCUCAAAUCUUCAUCCUCUCUGGGCCACUUAUUACAGACUGCCAACUUUAGGUCUGGCCGUUGCCCGGUUCCACCCAAGACCCUCUUGCUGUCUGGGAGGUUUGGAGUUUCUGAGGCCAUGGCAUCCAGCCACAGGCUGGCACCAUUCAAGGACAAAAGCUGCCCUUUUUCCAAGGAUCCCCUUGCAGAUUGCAUCGGAGGCUUCGAAGUCUGCUUUUUCUGGUAAAGAAGGCCGUGCUCAAGGCUACCGAUGCCUUUAAGAACAACUCCUGCAUGGACAGGACUCUUCAGCCUGUGCAUAGAAGGGGGUGCCACUCAAUGCCGGGACCUCCAAAAGGCCUUGGUGGUCUAUUAUUGAAGGAGAAAGCAAGCUAUAAAACGGACUGUGAGUUCAUCUCUGGCUUUGUUUUUUGUUUUUGUUUGAAGUACAUUAUGAAAAG
Molecule: long non-coding RNA, 2601 nt
Organism: Lagenorhynchus albirostris (white-beaked dolphin)
Lineage: Eukaryota; Metazoa; Chordata; Mammalia; Artiodactyla; Delphinidae
Exons: 6
Source: RefSeq, a predicted model, not a curated record